RNAcentral lists this ribosomal RNA (439 nucleotides) under uncultured Actinomycetales bacterium. RNAcentral describes it as "bacterial SSU rRNA". It matches the Rfam family "Bacterial small subunit ribosomal RNA", at positions 341 to 792 of the family's 1533-position model. Lineage: Bacteria; Bacillati; Actinomycetota; Actinomycetes; Actinomycetales. The record is from RNAcentral.
ACGGGAGGCAGCAGUGGGGAAUAUUGCACAAUGGGCGGAAGCCUGAUGCAGCGACGCCGCGUGAGGGAUGACGGCCUUCGGGUUGUAAACCUCUUUCAGCAGGGACGAAGCGUAAGUGACGGUACCUGCAGAAGAAGCGCCGGCCAACUACGUGCCAGCAGCCGCGGUAAGACGUAGGGCGCGAGCGUUGUCCGGAUUUAUUGGGCGUAAAGAGCUCGUAGGCGGCUUGUCGCGUCGACUGUGAAAACCCGCGGCUCAACCGCGGGCCUGCAGCCGAUACGGGCAGGCUAGAGUUCGGUAGGGGAGACUGGAAUUCCUGGUGUAGCGGUGAAAUGCGCAGAUAUCAGGAGGAACACCGGUGGCGAAGGCGGGUCUCUGGGCCGAUACUGACGCUGAGGAGCGAAAGCGUGGGGAGCGAACAGGAUUAGAUACCCUGGUA